This 217-nucleotide ribosomal RNA is filed under the name Klebsiella pneumoniae. Its description in RNAcentral is "partial 23S ribosomal RNA". It matches the Rfam family "Bacterial large subunit ribosomal RNA", at positions 146 to 398 of the family's 2925-position model. The record is from RNAcentral. Lineage: Bacteria; Pseudomonadati; Pseudomonadota; Gammaproteobacteria; Enterobacterales; Enterobacteriaceae.
CACUAUCGUUAACUGAAUACAUAGGUUAACGAGGCGAACCGGGGGAACUGAAACAUCUAAGUACCCCGAGGAAAAGAAAUCAACCGAGAUUCCCCCAGUAGCGGCGAGCGAACGGGGAGCAGCCCAGAGUCUGAAUCAGCUUGUGUGUUAGUGGAACGGUCUGGAAAGUCCGACGGUACAGGGUGAUAGUCCCGUACACCAAAAUGCACAGGUUGUG